RNAcentral lists this ribosomal RNA (375 nucleotides) under uncultured organism. RNAcentral describes it as "partial 16S ribosomal RNA". It matches the Rfam family "Bacterial small subunit ribosomal RNA", at positions 527 to 896 of the family's 1533-position model. The record is from RNAcentral.
GUAGGGUGCGAGCGUUAUCCGGAAUCAUUGGGCGUAAAGAGCUCGUAGGCGGUUCAGCAAGUCGGCUGUGAAAUUCCGAGGGCUCAACCUCGGAACUGCAGUCGAUACUGCUGUGACUCGAGUCCGGUAGAGGAGAAUGGAAUUCCCGGUGUGGCGGUGAAAUGCGCAGAUAUCGGGAGGAACACCAGUAGCGAAGGCGGUUCUCUGGGCCGGCACUGACGCUGAGGAGCGAAAGCGUGGGUAGCAAACAGGAUUAGAUACCCUGGUAGUCCACGCCGUAAACGUUGGAUACUAGGUGUGGCGUUCCGACCAACGGUCGCCGUGCCGAAGCUAACGCAUUAAGUAUCCCGCCUGGGGAGUACGGCCGCAAGGCUA